UCCGAGUUAUCCCCGGCAGUCUCUCUAGAGUGCCCAACUUAAUGAUGGCAACUAAAGACAAGGGUUGCGCUCGUUGCGGGACUUAACCCAACAUCUCACGACACGAGCUGACGACAACCAUGCACCACCUGUCUCCUCUGUCCCCGAAGGGAAAGUCUCGGUUAAGAGACGGUCAAAGGGAUGUCAAGUCCAGGUAAGGUUCUUCGCGUUGCUUCGAAUUAAACCACAUGCUCCGCUGCUUGUGCGGGUCCCCGUCAAUUCCUUUGAGUUUCAUACUUGCGUACGUACUCCCCAGGCGGAGUGCUUAAUGCGUUAACUUCGGCACCGAGGUUCGACCCCCAACACCUAGCACUCAUCGUUUACGGCGUGGACUAC
RNAcentral lists this unclassified non-coding RNA (375 nucleotides) under uncultured Eubacteriales bacterium. Its description in RNAcentral is "contains 16S-23S intergenic spacer region". Lineage: Bacteria; Bacillati; Bacillota; Clostridia; Eubacteriales. The record is from RNAcentral.